CUGAGGUCCCCUUGCAAGCGCUAGCCGCGAACCCCGCCAGGCCCGGGAGGGAGCAACGGUAGUGGAACAGCGCUGUGCUGAGUUUUGGCUUUCGGGA
RNAcentral lists this signal recognition particle RNA (97 nucleotides) under Porticoccaceae bacterium. RNAcentral's name for it is "signal recognition particle sRNA small type". It matches the Rfam family "Bacterial small signal recognition particle RNA". Rfam says of the family: The signal recognition particle (SRP) is a universally conserved ribonucleoprotein involved in the co-translational targeting of proteins to membranes. Archaeal SRP consists of a 7S RNA and homologues of the eukaryotic SRP19 and SRP54 proteins. Lineage: Bacteria; Pseudomonadati; Pseudomonadota; Gammaproteobacteria; Cellvibrionales; Porticoccaceae. The record is from RNAcentral.